AUUGAACGCUGGCGGAAUGCUUUACACAUGCAAGUCGAACGGCAGCACGGACUUCGGUCUGGUGGCGAGUGGCGAACGGGUGAGUAAUGUAUCGGAACGUGCCCAGUCGUGGGGGAUAACGUAGUGAAAAUUACGCUAAUACCGCAUACGAUCUAUGGAUGAAAGCGGGGGAUCGCAAGACCUCGCGCGAUUGGUGCGGCCGAUAUCAGGUUAGUUAGUUGGUGGGGUAAAGGCCCACCAAGCCAACGAUCUGUAGCUGGUCUAAGAGGACGACCAGCCACACUGGAACUGAGACACGGUCCAGACUCCUACGGGAGGCAGCAGUGGGGAAUUUUGGACAAUGGGCGAAAGCCUGAUCCAGCCAUUCCGCGUGCAGGAUGAAGGCCCUCGGGUUGUAAACUGCUUUUGUACAGAACGAAAAGGUUUCUACUAAUACUAGGAGCUCAUGACGGUACUGUAAGAAUAAGCACCGGCUAACUACGUGCCAGCCGCCGCCGUAA
Molecule: ribosomal RNA, 500 nt
Filed under: uncultured bacterium
Lineage: Bacteria
Description: partial 16S ribosomal RNA
Rfam family: Bacterial small subunit ribosomal RNA
Source: RNAcentral